RNAcentral lists this small nucleolar RNA (107 nucleotides) under Brassica napus (rape). RNAcentral's name for it is "Plant small nucleolar RNA R71". It matches the Rfam family "Plant small nucleolar RNA R71". Rfam says of the family: R71 is a member of the C/D box family of snoRNAs containing the C (UGAUGA) and D (CUGA) box motifs. Multiple nearly identical copies of this snoRNA have been identified in Arabidopsis, and it is thought to function as a 2'-O-ribose methylation guide for 18S ribosomal RNA. The record is from Rfam by way of RNAcentral. Lineage: Eukaryota; Viridiplantae; Streptophyta; Magnoliopsida; Brassicales; Brassicaceae.
AAGCCAUGGUGUGGGCAUUGAGCUUGGUAGCCCUUGAAUCUCUCCCAGGCUUCACUGAAGCCUUCCAAGUUCUUCUGUUGAAAGCUGGAGAUCUCAUUUCUCAGCUU